AAUUCAACAAGAUGUGGGGCUCUGGCGAUUGUCAAGGCGAUUUUCAUGCAACGCUGACUUAGUCAAAAUUCCUUCAAUCUUCGUUCUAUCUUCAUCUUCCUCGUUUAAUUCAACUAGGGUUUCUUUGUUUCAAUUCAAUCCUUUAUGAUUAUCUGAAUAAUUUUAACUCUUAUCUGGUUUUGAUUCUUAUGAAUUGAUUUCGUAUUUCUCUUCUCUCUGUUUAUUUUUUAACCUAAUUUCACUUUUCUGAAAACCUAAAUCCUGAUGGUGUAGUCGAUUCUGAUUACUUGUUUGUUUAAUCCUUUUGAUUUGAACUAGUAUAAUAAAUAAUUCUAAUUUUUAAUUUUUGAUUCAUAUUAAUUUUUCUGACUUGAUUCAUCGUUACUAGUUUCUUAAUUUUCCCCCUUUUCGUUUUUUCAGAUUUGGUCAUGGACUGAAGGAGAUAGCAUACAUAGGGUUCUAGUGUUUUGCCAUCAUGAGAUUAAUGAACAAAAAGGAAUUUGGAGUUUUUUGUAGCGGAUUUUUCUGGAUAUGAUUCUAGAUUUCUUCAACAGGUUUAAUAUAUGGUUUCAGUCAGUUUAAGAUCAAGAAGUUUAGCAUAUUGGAUUGCUUUCUAGCAUCAUGAGCUCCUACUAAGAUUGUUUGGAUAAGGCAAUUGUUCUUGAACCUAUUCCACUGGCUACUUUUCCUCCUGGCCUUCGGUGAUGAAGAUUUUGAAAAGGAAUUUAAUCUCAUGAUGGUGGACUCUAUGGAUUCUAUGGAUGUUGAACCUUAUUCAGUCCAUGACCUUGUAAGUCUUUCUUAUUUUUUUGAUAUUUAUCACCUUGUUUCAUGUUUCCGAUUAUAUUUAAUUUUUCUUGAAUCAUGAAGUUUCUUAGUUGGAAUAUGAAUGGUUGUUGUUCUGAUAAAAAAUGGUUGCAUGUGUUGAAUAUCUAAAACAUUAGCCUGAUGUGAUUUUCCUAAUUGAAAUUAUGGUUGGCACAAAAACUGUGAAUAAAUAUAUUCACCACCUUCCUUAUGAUACUUGGUUCAUUGUGCUUUCCGUCGGUAAAUCUGGUGGUUUAGCAUUAGGUUACUUUGAGAAAUUAAAUAUCUCUGUUAUUAAUAGUUCUCUUAAUAUGAUUCAUAUUUUGUGUGAUAUAUCACCUUUGAUCA
Long non-coding RNA from Papaver somniferum (opium poppy), 1155 nucleotides. RefSeq lists it as uncharacterized. The transcript is spliced from 2 exons. Lineage: Eukaryota; Viridiplantae; Streptophyta; Magnoliopsida; Ranunculales; Papaveraceae. The record is from RefSeq and is a predicted model, not a curated record.